This 253-nucleotide ribosomal RNA is filed under the name uncultured bacterium. Its description in RNAcentral is "partial 16S ribosomal RNA". It matches the Rfam family "Bacterial small subunit ribosomal RNA", at positions 524 to 776 of the family's 1533-position model. The record is from RNAcentral.
UACGUAGGGGGCUAGCGUUGUCCGGAAUCAUUGGGCGUAAAGAGCGUGUAGGCGGUCCGGUAAGUCCGCUGUGAAAGUCGGGGGCUCAACCCUCGAAUGCCGGUGGAUACUGUCGGGCUAGAGUGCGGAAGAGGCGAGUGGAAUUCCUGGUGUAGCGGUGAAAUGCGCAGAUAUCAGGAAGAACACCAAUGGCGAAAGCAGCUUUCUGGGACGUAACUGACGCUGAGACGCGAAAGCGUGGGGAGCAAACAGG